Molecule: ribosomal RNA, 415 nt
Filed under: uncultured crenarchaeote
Lineage: Archaea; Thermoproteati; Thermoproteota
Description: partial 16S ribosomal RNA
Rfam family: Archaeal small subunit ribosomal RNA
Source: RNAcentral
GCGCAGCAGUCGCGAAAACUCCGCAAUACGCGAAAGCGUGACGGGGCCAUCCCGAGUGCCGUCCGCUGAGGAUGGCUUUUCCCCUGUGUAGAUAGCUGGGGGAAUAAGGAGAGGGCAAGUCUGGUGUCAGCCGCCGCGGUAAUACCAGCUCUCCGAGUGGUAGGGAUGAUUAUUGGGCUUAAAGCGUCCGUAGCUGGCCUUUCAAGUCUCUUGUUAAAUCCAGCGAUUCAAUCGUUGGACUGCGGGAGAUACUGUUAGGCUAGGAGGCGGGAGAAGCCAACGGUAUUCCCGGGGUAGGGGUGAAAUCCUAUAAUCCCGGGAGGACCACCAGUGGCGAAGGCUGUUGGCUAGAACACGCCCGACGGUGAGGGAUGAAAGCUGGGGGAGCGAACCGGAUUAGAUACCCGGGUAGUCC